This 808-nucleotide ribosomal RNA is filed under the name Bacillus sp. (in: firmicutes). RNAcentral's name for it is "bacterial SSU rRNA". It matches the Rfam family "Bacterial small subunit ribosomal RNA", at positions 658 to 1469 of the family's 1533-position model. Lineage: Bacteria; Bacillati; Bacillota; Bacilli; Caryophanales; Bacillaceae. The record is from RNAcentral.
AGAUAGGAAUUCCACGUGUAGCGGUGAAAUGCGUAGAGAUGUGGAGGAACACCAGUGGCGAAGGCGACUCUCUGGUCUGUAACUGACGCUGAGGAGCGAAAGCGUGGGGAGCGAACAGGAUUAGAUACCCUGGUAGUCCACGCCGUAAACGAUGAGUGCUAAGUGUUAGGGGGUUUCCGCCCCUUAGUGCUGCAGCUAACGCAUUAAGCACUCCGCCUGGGGAGUACGGUCGCAAGACUGAAACUCAAAGGAAUUGACGGGGGCCCGCACAAGCGGUGGAGCAUGUGGUUUAAUUCGAAGCAACGCGAAGAACCUUACCAGGUCUUGACAUCCUCUGACAACCCUAGAGAUAGGGCUUUCCCUUCGGGGACAGAGUGACAGGUGGUGCAUGGUUGUCGUCAGCUCGUGUCGUGAGAUGUUGGGUUAAGUCCCGCAACGAGCGCAACCCUUGAUCUUAGUUGCCAGCAUUCAGUUGGGCACUCUAAGGUGACUGCCGGUGACAAACCGGAGGAAGGUGGGGAUGACGUCAAAUCAUCAUGCCCCUUAUGACCUGGGCUACACACGUGCUACAAUGGACAGAACAAAGGGCUGCAAGACCGCAAGGUUUAGCCAAUCCCAUAAAUCUGUUCUCAGUUCGGAUCGCAGUCUGCAACUCGACUGCGUGAAGCUGGAAUCGCUAGUAAUCGCGAUCAGCAUGCGGGUGAAUACGUUCCCGGGCCUUGUACACACCGCCCGUCACACCACGAGAAGUUUGCAACACCCGAAGUCGGUGAGGUAACCUUUAUGGAGCCAGCGCGAAGGUGGGGCA